Molecule: ribosomal RNA, 254 nt
Filed under: uncultured bacterium
Lineage: Bacteria
Description: partial 16S ribosomal RNA
Rfam family: Bacterial small subunit ribosomal RNA
Source: RNAcentral
UACGUAGGGGGCAAGCGUUGUCCGGAUUCAUUGGGCGUAAAGAGCUCGUAGGCGGCUUGACAAGUCGGGUGUGAAAACUCCAGGCUCAACCUGGAGACGCCACCCGAUACUGCCAUGGCUAGAGUCCGGUAGGGGACCACGGAAUUCCCGGUGUAGCGGUGAAAUGCGCAGAUAUCGGGAGGAACACCGGUGGCGAAGGCGGUUCUCUGGGCCUUACCUGACGCUGAGGAGCGAAAGCGUGGGGAGCGAACAGG